This is a long non-coding RNA of Carassius gibelio (silver crucian carp), 979 nucleotides long. RefSeq lists it as uncharacterized. Lineage: Eukaryota; Metazoa; Chordata; Actinopteri; Cypriniformes; Cyprinidae. The record is from RefSeq and is a predicted model, not a curated record. The transcript is spliced from 2 exons.
AUCCUGUGAAUCACUAAACUAAUAUUUAGUUGUAUGACCACAGUUUUUUAAAACUGCUUGACAUCUGUGUGGCAUGGAGUCAACCAACUUGUGGCACCUCUCAGCUGUUAUUCCACUCCAUGAUUCUUUAACAACAUUCCACAAUUCAUUCACAUUUCUUGGUUUUGCUUCAGAAACAGCAUUUUUGAUAUCACCCCACAAGUUCUCAAUUGGAUUAAGGUCUGGAGAUUGGGCUGGCCACUCCAUAACAUUAAUUUUGUUGGUUUGGAACCAAGACUUUGCCCGUUUACUAGUGUGUUUUGGGUCAUUGUCUUGUUGAAACAACCAUUUCAAGGGCAUGUCCUCUUCAGCAUAGGGCAACAUGACCUCUUCAAGUAUUUUAACAUAUGCAAACUGAUCCAUGAUCCCUGGUGUGCGAUAAAUAGGCCCAACACCAUAGUAGGAGAAACAUGCCCAUAUCAUGAUGCUUGCACCUCCAUGCUUCACUGUCUUCACUGUGUACUGUGGCUUGAAUUCAGAGUUUGGGGGUAGUCUCACAAACUGCCUGUGGCCCUUGGACCCAAAAAGAACAAUUUUACUCUCAUCAGUCCACAAAAUGUUCCUCCAUUUCUCUUUAGGCCAGUUGAUGUGUUCUUUGGCAAAUUGUAACCUCUUCUGCACAUGCCUUUUUUUUAACAGAGGGACUUUGCGGGGGAUUCUUGAAAAUAGAUUAGCUUCACACAGACAUCUUCUAACUGUCACAGUACUUACAGGUAACUCCAGACUGUCUUUGAUCAUCCUGGAGGUGAUCAUUGGCUGAGCCUUUGCCAUUCUGGUUAUUCUUCUAUCCAUUUUGAUGGUUGUCUUCCGUUUUCUUCCACGUCUCUCUGGUUUUGCUCUCCAUUUUAAGGCAUUGGAGAUCAUUUUAGCUGAACAGCCUAUCAUUUUUUGCACCUCUUUAUAGGUUUUCCCCUCUCUAAUCAACUUUUUAAUCAAAGUA